CCUACGGGUGGCAGCAGUGAGGAAUAUUGGUCAAUGGACGAGAGUCUGAACCAGCCAAGUCGCGUGAAGGAUGACUGCCCUAUGGGUUGUAAACUUCUUUUAUCUGGGCAUAAAAUGUUCCACGUGUGGGAUUUUGUAUGUACCAUAUGAAUAAGGAUCGGCUAACUCCGUGCCAGCAGCCGCGGUAAUACGGAGGAUACGAGCGUUAUCCGGAUUUAUUGGGUUUAAAGGGAGCGUAGGCGGAUUGUUAAGUCAGUUGUGAACGUUUGCGGGUCAACCGUAAAAUUGCAGUUGAAACUGGCAGUCUUGAGCACAGGAGAGGUGGGCGGAAUGUGUGGUGUAGCGGUGAAAUGCUUAGAUAUCACGAAGAACUCCGAUUGCGAAGGCAGUUCACUGGACUGCAACUGACACUGAGGCUCGAAGGUGUGGGUAUCAAACAGGAUUAGAUAACCGAGUAGUC
RNAcentral lists this ribosomal RNA (460 nucleotides) under uncultured bacterium. RNAcentral's name for it is "partial 16S ribosomal RNA". It matches the Rfam family "Bacterial small subunit ribosomal RNA", at positions 338 to 795 of the family's 1533-position model. The record is from RNAcentral.